This 599-nucleotide ribosomal RNA is filed under the name uncultured bacterium. Its description in RNAcentral is "bacterial SSU rRNA". It matches the Rfam family "Bacterial small subunit ribosomal RNA", at positions 65 to 644 of the family's 1533-position model. The record is from RNAcentral.
AACGCGAAAGGGGCUUCGGCCCUGAGUAGAGUGGCGAACGGGUGAGUAACGCGUGGGUGAUCUACCUUUGAGUGGGGGAUAACGUUCCGAAAGGAGCGCUAAUACCGCAUGAUGUUCCGGGUUUAGAGACCUGGAAACCAAAGCCGGGGACCGCAAGGCCUGGCGCUCGAAGAGGAGCCCGCGUCCGAUUAGCUAGUUGGCGGGGUAAUGGCCCACCAAGGCGACGAUCGGUAGCCGGCCUGAGAGGGCGGACGGCCACACUGGAACUGAGACACGGUCCAGACUCCUACGGGAGGCAGCAGUGGGGAAUUGUUCACAAUGGGCGCAAGCCUGAUGACGCAACGCCGCGUGGGGGAUGGAGGUCUUCGGAUUGUAAACCCCUGUCGAACGGGACGAAAGACCCGGGAGCUAAUCAUCCUGGGAGUGACGGUACCGUUAAAGGAAGCCACGGCUAACUCUGUGCCAGCAGCCGCGGUAAUACAGAGGUGGCAGGCGUUGUUCGGAAUUACUGGGCGUAAAGGGCGCGUAGGCGGCCAUCUAAGUCAGACGUGAAAUCCCCCGGCUUAACCUGGGAACUGCGUCUGAUACUGGACGGCUCG